CCGGAAUUAUUGGGCGUAAAGCGCGCGCAGGCGGUCCUUUAAGUCUGAUGUGAAAGCCCACGGCUCAACCGUGGAGGGUCAUUGGAAACUGGAGGACUUGAGUACAGAAGAGGAGAGUGGAAUUCCACGUGUAGCGGUGAAAUGCGUAGAGAUGUGGAGGAACACCAGUGGCGAAGGCGACUCUCUGGUCUGUAACUGACGCUGAGGCGCGAAAGCGUGGGGAGCGAACAGGAUUAGAUACCCUGGUAGUCCACGCCGUAAACGAUGAGUGCUAGGUGUUAGGGGGUUUCCGCCCCUUAGUGCUGAAGUUAACGCAUUAAGCACUCCGCCUGGGGAGUACGGCCGCAAGGCUGAAACUCAAAAGAAUUGACGGGGGCCCGCACAAGCGGUGGAGCAUGUGGUUUAAUUCGACGCAACGCGAAGAACCUUACCAGGUCUUGACAUCCUCUGCAAUCGGUAGAGAUACCGAGUUCCCUUCGGGGACAGAGUGACAGGUGGUGCAUGGUUGUCGUCAGCUCGUGUCGUGAGAUGUUGGGUUAAGUCCCGCAACGAGCGCAACCCUUGAUCUUAGUUGCCAGCAUUUAGUUGGGCACUCUAAGGUGACUGCCGGUGACAAACCGGAGGAAGGUGGGGAUGACGUCAAAUCAUCAUGCCCCUUAUGACCUGGGCUACACACGUGCUACAAUGGAUGGAACAAAGGGAAGCAAAACCGCGAGGUCAAGCAAAUCCCAUAAAACCAUUCUCAGUUCGGAUUGCAGGCUGCAACUCGCCUGCAUGAAGCCGGAAUCGCUAGUAAUCGCGGAUCAGCAUGCCGCGGUGAAUACGUUCCCGGGCCUUGUACACACCGCCCGUCACACCACGAGAGUUGGUAACACCCGAAGUCGGUGAGGUAACCUUU
RNAcentral lists this ribosomal RNA (898 nucleotides) under Virgibacillus halodenitrificans. Its description in RNAcentral is "bacterial SSU rRNA". It matches the Rfam family "Bacterial small subunit ribosomal RNA", at positions 545 to 1443 of the family's 1533-position model. Lineage: Bacteria; Bacillati; Bacillota; Bacilli; Caryophanales; Bacillaceae. The record is from RNAcentral.